Molecule: ribosomal RNA, 313 nt
Filed under: uncultured delta proteobacterium
Lineage: Bacteria; Deltaproteobacteria
Description: bacterial SSU rRNA
Rfam family: Bacterial small subunit ribosomal RNA
Source: RNAcentral
AAGCGUUGUUCGGAAUUAUUGGGCGUAAAGCGCGUGCAGGCGGUUGCUUAAGUCUGAUGUGAAAGCCCUGGGCUCAACCCGGGAAGUGCAUUGGAAACUGGGCAACUUGAGUACGGGAGAGGAUAGUGGAAUUCCGAGUGUAGGGGUGAAAUCCGUAGAUAUUCGGAGGAACACCGGUGGCGAAGGCGGCUAUCUGGACCGAUACUGACGCUGAGACGCGAAAGCGUGGGGAGCAAACAGGAUUAGAUACCCUGGUAGUCCACGCCGUAAACGAUGGGUACUAGGUGUUGCGGGUAUUGACCCCUGCAGUGCC